Molecule: ribosomal RNA, 458 nt
Filed under: uncultured bacterium
Lineage: Bacteria
Description: partial 16S ribosomal RNA
Rfam family: Bacterial small subunit ribosomal RNA
Source: RNAcentral
CCUACGGGAGGCAGCAGUGAGGAAUAUUGGUCAAUGGGCGAGAGCCUGAACCAGCCAAGUCGCGUGAGUGAGUACUGCCCUAUGGGUUGUAAACCUCUUUUGUCGGGGAGCAAAAGCCGGACGUGUCCGGCUGUGAGAGUACCCGAAGAAAAAGCAUCGGCUAACUCCGUGCCAGCAGCAGCGGUAAUACGGAGGAUGCGAGCGUUAUCCGGAUUUAUUGGGUUUAAAGGGUGCGCAGGCGGAUUUUUACGUCAGCGGUCAAAUCGUGGGGCUCAACCCCAUCCAGCCGUUGAAACUGGUGAGCUAGAGUGUGCGAGAGGUAUGUGGAAUGCGUGGUGUAGCGGUGAAAUGCAUAGAUAUCACGCAGAACCCCGAUUGCGAAGGCAGCAUACCGGUGCACAACUGACGCUCAGGCACGAAAGCGUGGGUAUCGAACAGGAUUAGAUACCCCUGUAGUC